GCACGAGUGGUGAAAUUGGCAGACACGCUAGAUUUAGGCUCUAGUGCUUAACAGCAUAAGGGUUCAAGUCCCUUCUUGUGCACCA
Molecule: transfer RNA, 85 nt
Filed under: Mesomycoplasma neurolyticum
Lineage: Bacteria; Bacillati; Mycoplasmatota; Mycoplasmoidales; Metamycoplasmataceae
Description: Mycoplasma neurolyticum tRNA-Leu(tag)
Rfam family: tRNA
About the family: Transfer RNA (tRNA) molecules are approximately 80 nucleotides in length. Their secondary structure includes four short double-helical elements and three loops (D, anti-codon, and T loops). Further hydrogen bonds mediate the characteristic L-shaped molecular structure. tRNAs have two regions of fundamental functional importance: the anti-codon, which is responsible for specific mRNA codon recognition, and the 3' end, to which the tRNAs corresponding amino acid is attached (by aminoacyl-tRNA synthetases). tRNAs cope with the degeneracy of the genetic code in two manners: having more than one tRNA (with a specific anti-codon) for a particular amino acid; and 'wobble' base-pairing, i.e. permitting non-standard base-pairing at the 3rd anti-codon position.
Source: RNAcentral